CCAGGCGUAAUAGCUCACUGGUCGAGUCGGCCUGCGCGGAAGAUGUAACGGGGCUAAACCAUGCACCGAAGCUGCGGCAGCGACACUGUGUGUUGUUGGGUAGGGGAGCGUUCUGUAAGCCUGUGAAGGUGUCUGUGAGGAUGCUGGAGGUAUCAGAAGUGCGAAUGCUGACAUAAGUAACGAUAAAGCGGGUGAAAAGCCCGCUCGCCGGAAGACCAAGGGUUCCUGUCCAACGUUAAUCGGGGCAGGGUGAGUCGACCCCUAAGGCGAGGCCGAAAGGCGUAGUCGAUGGGAAACAGGUUAAUAUUCCUGUACUUGGUGUUACUGCGAAGGGGGGACGGAGAAGGCUAUGUUGGCCGGGCGACGGUUGUCCCGGUUUAAGCGUGUAGGCUGGUUUUCCAGGCAAAUCCGGAAAAUCAAGGCUGAGGCGUGAUGACGAGGCACUACGGUGCUGAAGCAACAAAUGCCCUGCUUCCAGGAAAAGCCUCUAAGCAUCAGGUAACAUCAAAUCGUACCCCAAACCGACACAGGUGGUCAGGUAGAGAAUACCAAGGCGCUUGAGAGAACUCGGGUGAAGGAACUAGGCAAAAUGGUGCCGUAACUUCGGGAGAAGGCACGCUGAUAUGUAGGUGAAGUCCCUCGCGGAUGGAGCUGAAAUCAGUCGAAGAUACCAGCUGGCUGCAACUGUUUAUUAAAAACACAGCACUGUGCAAACACGAAAGUGGACGUAUACGGUGUGACGCCUGCCCGGUGCCGGAAGGUUAAUUGAUGGGGUCAGCGCAAGCGAAGCUCUUGAUCGAAGCCCCGGUAAACGGCGGCCGUAACUAUAACGGUCCUAAGGUAGCGAAAUUCCUUGUCGGGUAAGUUCCGACCUGCACGAAUGGCGUAAUGAUGGCCAGGCUGUCUCCACCCGAGACUCAGUGAAAUUGAACUCGCUGUGAAGAUGCAGUGUACCCGCGGCAAGACGGAAAGACCCCGUGAACCUUUACUAUAGCUUGACACUGAACAUUGAGCCUUGAUGUGUAGGAUAGGUGGGAGGCUUUGAAGUGUGGACGCCAGUCUGCAUGGAGCCGACCUUGAAAUACCACCCUUUAAUGUUUGAUGUUCUAACGUGGACCCGUGAUCCGGGUUGCGGACAGUGUCUGGUGGGUAGUUUGACUGGGGCGGUCUCCUCCUAAAGAGUAACGGAGGAGCACGAAGGUUGGCUAAUCCUGGUCGGACAUCAGGAGGUUAGUGCAAUGGCAUAAGCCAGCUUGACUGCGAGCGUGACGGCGCGAGCAGGUGCGAAAGCAGGUCAUAGUGAUCCGGUGGUUCUGAAUGGAAGGGCCAUCGCUCAACGGAUAAAAGGUACUCCGGGGAUAACAGGCUGAUACCGCCCAAGAGUUCAUAUCGACGGCGGUGUUUGGCACCUCGAUGUCGGCUCAUCACAUCCUGGGGCUGAAGUAGGUCCCAAGGGUAUGGCUGUUCGCCAUUUAAAGUGGUACGCGAGCUGGGUUUAGAACGUCGUGAGACAGUUCGGUCCCUAUCUGCCGUGGGCGCUGGAGAACUGAGGGGGGCUGCUCCUAGUACGAGAGGACCGGAGUGGACGCAUCACUGGUGUUCGGGUUGUCAUGCCAAUGGCACUGCCCGGUAGCUAAAUGCGGAAGAGAUAAGUGCUGAAAGCAUCUAAGCACGAAACUUGCCCCGAGAUGAGUUCUCCCUGACCCUUUAAGGGUCCUGAAGGAACGUUGAAGACGACGACGUUGAUAGGCCGGGUGUGUAAGCGCAGCGAUGCGUUGAGCUAACCGGUACUAAUGAACCGUGAGGCUUAACCU
This 1814-nucleotide ribosomal RNA is filed under the name Escherichia coli 99.1753. RNAcentral's name for it is "bacterial LSU rRNA". It matches the Rfam family "Bacterial large subunit ribosomal RNA", at positions 1125 to 2925 of the family's 2925-position model. Lineage: Bacteria; Pseudomonadati; Pseudomonadota; Gammaproteobacteria; Enterobacterales; Enterobacteriaceae. The record is from RNAcentral.